GAUGAACGCUAGCUACAGGCUUAACACAUGCAAGUCGAGGGGUAACGAGAGGGAAGCUUGCUUUCCUUGUCGACGACCGGCGCACGGGUGAGUAACGCGUAUCCAACCUGCCCCCAACUAAGGAAUAACCUUGCGAAAGUAAGACUAAUACCUUAUAAUUUCCUCAGAUGACAUCUGACGAGGAAUAAAGAUUUAUUGGUUGUGGAUGGUGUUGCGUCUGAUUAGCUUGUUGGCGGGGUAACGGCCCACCAAGGCAACGAUCAGUAGGGGUUCUGAGAGGAAGGUCCCCCACAUUGGAACUGAGACACGGUCCAAACUCCUACGGGAGGCAGCAGUGAGGAAUAUUGGUCAAUGGGCGGAAGCCUGAACCAGCCAAGUAGCGUGCAGGAUGACGGCCCUAUGGGUUGUAAACUGCUUUUAUACAGGAAUAAAGUUAGCCACGUGUGGUUAUUUGUAGGUACUGUAUGAAUAAGGACCGGCUAAUUCCGUGCCAGCCGCCGCCGUAA
Molecule: ribosomal RNA, 506 nt
Filed under: uncultured bacterium
Lineage: Bacteria
Description: partial 16S ribosomal RNA
Rfam family: Bacterial small subunit ribosomal RNA
Source: RNAcentral